Molecule: ribosomal RNA, 253 nt
Filed under: uncultured bacterium
Lineage: Bacteria
Description: partial 16S ribosomal RNA
Rfam family: Bacterial small subunit ribosomal RNA
Source: RNAcentral
UACAGAGGGUGCAAGCGUUGUUCGGAAUUACUGGGCGUAAAGCGCGUGUAGGCGGUCUGCCAAGUCUGAUGUGAAAGUUUUGGGUUUAAUUUAGGAAGUGUGUUAGAUAUUGGUGGAUUGGAGUGGUGGAGAGGAUGGUGGAAUAUUUGGUGUAGAGGUGAAAUUUGUAGAUAUCGGGUGGAACACCUGUGGCGAAGGCGGCCAUCUGGACGUCAACUGACGCUGAGACGCGAAAGCAUGGGGAGCAAACAGG